GACGAACGCUGGCGGCGUGCUUAACACAUGCAAGUCGAGCGGUAAGGCCCUUUCGGGGGUACACGAGCGGCGAACGGGUGAGUAACACGUGGGUGACCUGCCCUCAGCUCUGGGAUAAGCCUGGGAAACCGGGUCUAAUACUGGAUAUGACUCCAUGACGCAUGUUGUGGGGUGGAAAGCCUUGUGCGGCUGAGGAUGGGCCCGCGGCCUAUCAGCUUGUUGGUGGGGGAUGGCCUACCAAGGCGACGACGGGUAGCCGGCCUGAGAGGGCGACCGGCCACACUGGGACUGAGACACGGCCCAGACUCCUACGGGAGGCAGCAGUGGGGAAUCUUGCGCAAUGGGCGAAAGCCUGACGCAGCGACGCCGCGUGAGGGAUG
Molecule: ribosomal RNA, 380 nt
Filed under: uncultured bacterium
Lineage: Bacteria
Description: bacterial SSU rRNA
Rfam family: Bacterial small subunit ribosomal RNA
Source: RNAcentral